GGUAUAUUGGCCGAGGGGUCUAAGGCGUUGGAUUUAGGCUCCAGUCUCUUUGGGUGCGUGGGUUUGAAUCCCACCGCUGCCA
Molecule: non-coding RNA, 82 nt
Organism: Danio rerio (zebrafish)
Lineage: Eukaryota; Metazoa; Chordata; Actinopteri; Cypriniformes; Danionidae
Source: Rfam